GCACCUUGAGUGCCGCCUGAGAGAACCAGGACAUGGAGGCGCAGAGGCUGCUCUUCCUCUUGCUGGGGUCUCCUGGUCACCGAAACUCGACUGAAGGGUGUAUUUUUGGAUAUUUUUCAAAGGAUUAUAGCCAAGUAGUUCAUGGAGACACAAAAGAAAACCUAGGCUUCCAUUCCAAGUCAUGUUGAAGACUCCCCAUUUACAGGAAGAUUCGGAAUCACUACACCUGGGACGGCACCGGAACCUGCUCGCACCCCUGGGGCUUCUGAUGCCUGUGCGCUGAGGACUGGUGAGCAACGCUAGGAGGCAGCAGAGCAUUGUGGGAAGAAUGUGUGUUCUGCGAUCAGACUGUCUACUUUAAAAUCCUACUUCAGUCACUCAUUUGCUGUGCAAUGGAAGCUGUCUGUGCCUUAGAUUCUUCUGUAAAAAAAAAAAAAAAAAAAAAAAAGGUGGUAAUAAUAAUAUCAGCCUCAUUAGAUUGCAAUGAGAAUUAAGAGAGAACACAUUUAGGACACAGCACCAUGUCUGGCGCCUACUAUGUGCAGUCGUUGUUGUUGGUGGCAUGUGUGGUACUCUUGCAGCGCUGUUGUAGGGGGCUCUUUUUCAUAAAGAGUGAGGCUGUAGCCCAGAUCUAGAAUUUCAUGGGGUAGAAAUACAUCUAUUUUCAUUUCUGGAGUACUUUUCCUCCCAGGGGACUGGGCAAGCCUUGUACUAUGAAACAGCAUGUCAGGCUAAGGGAGAGGGUGAAGAAUAUGGAGGAGAAGAAAUGCAAGGAUUUUGGUUUGGGGUCAUAAGGAACUGACAAUUUGUCAAGCACACAACUCUAAAAGCAAAAGAUGUCUUCACUUAGAAACUUUGUCACAGGUAUGUACUAUUUGUAGUGAAUUAUUUCCUAUUUUAUGCAGUGUAAUGGAACUUUGAGUUUGUGAGAUUUAUUUUUAAAGUGUGCGGAAAAAUGCAGAAAAUUAUACCACUUCUCUUGUGUACUAUGUAAGUACAGAUAUGUUUAUAUUAGCAUUUCAGAAAAAAUGCACAAAACUCAUAAUUCAUGAAAGACAGUAAGCAGGUGAACGAACAGAUCUUGUAACUGGAAGGGACUUUACAAGUCUCUGAUCCAGGUCCAUAACUUUAUAUACAGGUGGUCUUUAUUAAUUACCAUUUUUACAACAAAAUAGUUGGGGUUAGUGAUAUUCCAACGUCACAUGGAAAAUAUUAGAGAUAUAACUAGAAUUUGAGUUUUCUGCAUGUUUUUGAGCUGGAUAAAUUGACAUGGGGAUCAGGAACUGGGAGUGUGUGGUGGGACAAAACAGACCUUGAAGUAGAACCACAAGCAUACUUGAAGGAUCUGGGAAAGCUCUCAUUCCUGUCCAUUGUACUUUUCAGUGAGUGAGGUCUGAUGUCUGUUCGGUGAAGGAAGGCUCGCUGGUCAUCUUCAGUUUCCAUAAGGAGCAUCAUGUGGGUAAAUCAUCAUUGUCUGAAGUUUUAUUGGUAUAGAAACCUGACAUGUGGGUACAUUGAGAAUGGAAUCAUCUCUCACAGGCACAUUAGCAUGGACCAGACUCAGAACAAUGCCAAAUAAAGCUAUUUACUAAUUUAUACUGAGAAACUUAACCAUCAAUGAGACAGGCACUACAUUCUCCCAUCAGCACAUUCCCACCCUAUAUAAGGAUGUUGAGCAUGGAAGGAAGGACAUGGUGAUUUAGGAUGAUUUUAAUGGAUAUGUCAUGGAGCCUUGAUAUGAUGGAUGCACGCAUCUCCAUCCACACAGACACCUGGUGCACUGAGCAGAGUGGCCUGGGGUACUGUGUCCGGGGCUGGUGAUAUAGAUCGGCUGCCAAAUCAGCCUGACUUUCCAUUUCCUGUGUUUUCAAACUUGACUCAACUCUUUCCCACAAUGAGCUGUUAUUUCUAUAAAUAUGUUAUUACCUUCCUGCAGUCAAUUUGCAGCGGAGUCUUGGCUUGGGGACCUGCCUUUUUUAAAGGUGUCUUUGCAUCUCUUUAAUCUGUUAUAUGCAUGCUUUUUACAAGUGUGAUUCUCAGAUAGAAAUUUUAUAUAUUUCCUCAUUUCCAGAAUUUUUUUCAGGGCAACUUUAUGACUGACUCCAUGUACUGCCUACCAUUUCAGAAAGACCUGACUCAAAUUUUUUUCCUUGAAAUGUCCUUAAACAUAUACGUCAAAAAUAUAAUGUGUUCCUGAUACUUGUGUCCAAAUAGAUAUAAGUUCUAAACGGGGUAAAAGAGCUAAUAAAUGUUAGAUGUCCUCAAAUAUGAUGUGAUUUACUAUGUGCCAAGAUGGAAAUACAUCCAUGAAUAUACUGCUAUUUACAGCACAAUAAUGGAGAAACUCCAGGUUAUGAAUCAAACAGGGCGUUGGAGAUUCUAAAAAUGAGUCCAUUGUACUAUCAAAUCCUACAGGAGUAACUUGGAUUUUUUUCCUGAAGACUUAUUCCUUUGAAUAAUCAUGAUGAGCAUUGUAGAUGUGGUGAAACUUAGCUGUAAACAUGUCUCCUGAUGAAAGCAAAAAAAAAGUGCAUUUAACAAACUAAAGCGUUUAUUUAAAAUUGUGAGAUGUCUGUUUAACAUUCAUUUAUAGUUUUGUUAUAAAAUUGACUUUUCCUGGUGGGAGAAUAGCCUGUUUUAUAUCCACAAACACCAAACUACACGUUAGUGGGGUUCCUAAGCAAAGCUGGCUUCCCCCAUUCCCACCCUCGCCCCCGGGGCUGGGGUGAGAGGCAGGAGGAAAGUGGAAUCUGAGUUCUGCUGGCUGAAGAAAAGAGUCUUCUUGGUGUCGGAAAAGCUGCUGGCCUCUGAUGCCCACGUGGCCCUGACAUAUCUAAAACUUUUUUUGGAAAGACUUGAGCAUAGAAAGCUAAUGAAGUUAGAAAUAAAGUUUCUAUCGUAGAAUAGCUUAAUAGCUGCUUCCAGGGUUGACUUUGUCAGUUUUAGGAAACUGUAUGGCACAAAGGAUGUUUGGUAAGGGGAAAUCGUGAUCGGAGAAAAGCAGCCGUGGGCGUCUCACUCUGCUGAGGGUUUGGUUCUCUAAUAACCAAAUGCCUUUCCUCUGGAUUUAAUGAUUUGUGCACACAAUAAGUUUAAGGACGAUGCUAGGCUCAGUUUUAAAACAACUCACAUUAGUUGUGGCUAUUAAAAAAAUCAAUCACAGUUUUCGCCAGAGAAGGGAGAUAGUUCUGUCUGAUUUUUCAGGUUGGUUGAUUGCUCAAGUAUCCUCUUUCAUAAAUGCAUUCUUCCUCAUUUUCAGACCAGUUUGUGGUUGUGCAAAAAUGAGAUAGUGGUCCUCUUUCAUGCCAGCAGAGAUGUGGUUCUGUGGUAUGUUACACAAACUCUUCAAGAUCACUUAUGUUUAUGUACACAUGUACAUAUUUUGUCUACUAUGAAAUAUUUAGAUUUUAAGUUUUAAAAGCUUUCUCAUUGUACCAUGCAAUUUUUUCAUGUGUUUCAUAUAAAUCACAAGUUUGAAUGCUUUAUAGUCACAAAAUAAGAAGGCUUUAUAGUUUCAAAAUAAGUAUAUGAAAACACAGUGGCAUGAAGUUACAUGGUAUGCUGGGUGGAGAGGAAGCAACUAUUCAUGAGACCAAACCCACAAACAUGCAGGAGACAGCAAUAAAGAGGCCAAGGACAGGGAUGUUUUGAAAAUAUACUCAAAACAAGAUGAAAGAAGAUCUUUGGACCUUUGAAAAUGCCCUGGAAAGUGAAUGAAAACAACUGCCUUCACUCUUUUAUCAGAGCUCUGACUCAAACCUGCUGCUAGAAGGACCUUGCUGAGUUGAAACACAUAUUUUUAAAAAACUACAUAUAUUCUUUUAAGUGGCUUAAGUUAUUUUAUGUGCAAAUUUCUUUGAAGGACCCUAGGCGCAGUUGUGUAUAUGCACAAUGUAAGUACGUUAGGUGGCCCACCGUGAGUCUUCACCUCCCAGAAGGCUCGGAGGGGUAUCCCAUUUCUUUUCUCACAAUUGCUGGGUGCACCUAUGGUCCAGAGGAACUUGGGCAACUCGGAAACUCGAGCUUAGCAAGAAGAUGUCAAAACGAGGGCCACAAAGCCAUAUUUCCUCAGGGCAGCUUUCCCUGAACACUCCCCCCUCCCACCCCAGUUAAGCUAGGUCUCUCUGUUACAAGUUCUCCCAACAACAUACAAUUCUUUUCUAGCACUCAGCAGUUUGUGAUUGUAUCUUCAUUUUGUGAUUACUUGGAUAUGCCUCCCCACUAGACAGUAAGGUCUAUGAGGGGGAGGCAUUGUGUUUAUUUUGCUUUCUAUUCCAUUUAGUCCAGUGCCUGGAGUAUUG
Molecule: long non-coding RNA, 4301 nt
Organism: Equus asinus (donkey)
Lineage: Eukaryota; Metazoa; Chordata; Mammalia; Perissodactyla; Equidae
Source: Ensembl